UACAGAGGGUGCGAGCGUUAAUCGGAGUUACUGGGCGUAAAGGGCGCGUAGGCGGUUGUAUAUGUGUGAUGUGAAAGCCCCGGGCUUAACCUGGGAAGUGCAUCGCAAACUGUAUAACUGGAGUACAAGAGAGGGUGGCGGAAUUUCCGGUGUAGCGGUGAAAUGCGUAGAGAUCGGAAGGAACGUCGAUGGCGAAGGCAGCCACCUGGCUUGAUACUGACGCUGAGGCGCGAAAGCGUGGGGAGCGAACAGGAUUAGAUACCCUGGUAGUCCACGCUGUAAACGAUGAGGACUAGAUGUUGGAAGGGGAACCUUUCAGUAUCGAAGCUAACGCGAUAAGUCUUCCGCCUGGGAAGUACGGCCGCAAGGUUGAA
Molecule: ribosomal RNA, 374 nt
Filed under: uncultured bacterium
Lineage: Bacteria
Description: bacterial SSU rRNA
Rfam family: Bacterial small subunit ribosomal RNA
Source: RNAcentral